GAAGGGUCGUCCGCCCUGGGUAAGUCUGGGCCUAAGGUGAGGCCGAGAGGCGUAGCUGAUGGAUAUCUGGUGUAUAUUCCAGAACUAGUAUAAUGACUGAUGGAGUGACGAAGAAGGCUAGGAUCCGAUUCUUAGUGGAUUGAAUACGAGAUAUCAAGAGGGGAUGUAGGCAAAUCCGCGUCUAGAAAUCAAGAUAUGACAGGUAAAGGAUAACGAAGUCAAGCUUCCAAGAAAAGCUUCUAGGGUUAAUCAUUAUACUACCAGUACCGUAAACCGACACAGGUGGGUAGGAAGAGAAUUCUAAGACGCGCGAGAAAACCCUUGUUAAGGAACUCUGCAAGUUGGCCCCGUAAGUUCGCAAUAAGGGGAGCUCAUGUAAAAGUGAGCCACAGAAAAGAAGCCCAAGCAACUGUUUAACAAAAACACAGGUUUAUGCAAAACCGUAAGGUGAAGUAUAUGAGCUGACACCUGCCCGGUGCUGGAAGGUUAAAAGGAGAGGUUAGAGCAAUCGAAGCCUUGAAUUGAAGCCCCAGUAAACGGCGGCCGUAACUAUAACGGUCCUAAGGUAGCGAAAUUCCUUGUCAGGUAAGUUCUGACCCGCACGAAAGGUGUAAUGUCUUUGGGCACUGUCUCAACAGGGGACUCGGUGAAAUCAAACUGCCGGUGAAAAUGCCGGCUACCCGCGAUUAGACGGAAAGACCCCAUGGAGCUUUACUGUAGGUUGAUAUUGAUAUUUGGUAUGUAAUGUACAGGAUAGGUGGGAGACUAUGAAGCUAGGACGUUAGUCUUGGUGGAGUCGACGUUGGGAUACCACCCUUUGCCUAUCGAGUAUCUAACUAGUGUAAGUGGAUUACAAAGGACAGUGUCAGUUGGGCAGUUUGACUGGGGCGGUCGCCUCCUAAAGAGUAACGGAGGCGCUCGAAGGUUCCCUCAGAAUGGUUGGAAAUCAUUCGCAGAGUGUAAACGCAGAAGGGGGCUUGACUGCAAGACAAACAAGUCGAGCAGGGACGAAAGUCGGAGUUAGUGAUCUUACGGUACCGCGUGGAAGGGCCGUGACUCAACGGAUAAAAGCUACCCUGGGGAUAACAGGCUGAUCACGCCCAAGCGUUCACAGCGACGGCGUGGUUUGGCACCUCGAUGUCGGCUCGUCGCAUCCUGGAGGUGGAUAAGCUUCCAAGGGUUGGGCUGUUCGCCCAUUAAAGCGGCACGCGAGCUGGGUUCAAAACGUCGUGAGACAGUUUGGUCCCUAUCUGUCGUGGGCGUUGGAAAUUUGAAGAGAGCUGUCCUUAGUACGAGAGGACCGGGAUGGACAUACCACUGGUGUACCAGUUAGCCUGCCAGGGCUAUAAGCUGGGUAGCUACGUAUGGAACGGAUAAACGCUGAAAGCAUCUAAGCGUGAAGCCUCCUCUAAGAUUAGAUUUCCCACAGAAAUGGUAAGACCCCUUAUAGACUAUAAGGUUGAUAGGCUAGGUGUGGAAGCGCAGUGAUGCGUGGAGCUGACUAGUACUAAUAGGUCGAGGACUUAAUC
This 1529-nucleotide ribosomal RNA is filed under the name metagenome. RNAcentral describes it as "bacterial LSU rRNA". It matches the Rfam family "Bacterial large subunit ribosomal RNA", at positions 1360 to 2925 of the family's 2925-position model. The record is from RNAcentral.